Monodelphis domestica (gray short-tailed opossum) is the source of this 60-nucleotide microRNA precursor. Lineage: Eukaryota; Metazoa; Chordata; Mammalia; Didelphimorphia; Didelphidae. The record is from Ensembl.
UACGGCCCCUCCAGGGAACCACGUGCAUGAGGGAACUACGUGGCCCCAGGAGAGGAUGGA